UGGGGAAUCUUCCGCAAUGGGCGAAAGCCUGACGGAGCAACGCCGCGUGAGUGAAGAAGGCCUUCGGGUCGUAAAACUCUGUCUUCAGGGAAGAAAAAAAUGACGGUACCUGAGGAGGAAGCCCCGGCUAACUACGUGCCAGCAGCCGCGGUAACACGUAGGGGGCGAGCGUUGUCCGGAAUUACUGGGCGUAAAGGGUGCGUAGGCGGUCUGUUAAGUCAGAUGUGAAAGACCUGGGCUCAACCCGGGAUGUGCAUCUGAGACUGGCGGACUUGAGUGCAGGAGAGGGAAGUGGAAUUUCUAGUGUAGCGGUGGAAUGCGUAGAUAUUAGGAAGAACACCAGUGGCGAAGGCGGCUUCCUGGACUGUAACUGACGCUGAGGCACGAAAGCGUGGGGAGCGAACAGG
Molecule: ribosomal RNA, 407 nt
Filed under: uncultured prokaryote
Description: bacterial SSU rRNA
Rfam family: Bacterial small subunit ribosomal RNA
Source: RNAcentral